UCCCAAAAUGUUCCUGAAAUGGGGUUACUUCUGUCCCAAUUGAGACAGACGUUUCAAAUUCCAAAUAAGAGGUAGUAGGGUACAACAGCACAGAAGGUACUUUAAGGAAGCUUGAGUCCUCAGAUGCAGAAGAAUUUUUUUCCAAACUGGAAUCAGAAUCCAGAAAAGGCUGAUAGGAAAUACCAACAAUGUUGACAUUCCCAGUUUCAAUGGGCACAGGAGAACCCUCAUUCAUUAAAUCAGGAAUAUCCAACUUGCUCAGCAUCCCAACUCCAGAAACAAAGAAUCCCUAUAAGUUUACUAAAGACAAUGACAAUUUCUCCAUGUUGGUCAGGCUGGUCUCAAACUCUCGACCUCAGGUGAUCUGCCUGCCUCGGCCUCCCGAAGUGCUGAGAUUAGAGAGCUGUAAGAGAGGUGUGUGCCUAGAUCAUACGUUUACUAUGAGGAAUUAACUGAAAGCACCUACAUGAAGACACCUGGAAACUAUAAAGAACUUCCUGGAAACUAUAAAGAACUGUAUAAUUAUAAGGUAGUGCUUAUAUCUGACUAUAAUAUUUUUGAUGGCUUCUUCAAAUAAUAAAUUCUCCAGCAGAGGUAAAAGUAAAAUCAAUAAAACAGAACCUUACUAGUU
Molecule: long non-coding RNA, 631 nt
Organism: Pan troglodytes (chimpanzee)
Lineage: Eukaryota; Metazoa; Chordata; Mammalia; Primates; Hominidae
Exons: 5
Source: RefSeq, a predicted model, not a curated record